RNAcentral lists this ribosomal RNA (708 nucleotides) under Triticum aestivum (bread wheat). Its description in RNAcentral is "partial small subunit ribosomal RNA". Lineage: Eukaryota; Viridiplantae; Streptophyta; Magnoliopsida; Poales; Poaceae. The record is from RNAcentral.
GAGCUGAAGAUUAAUGGCAGGAAAUACAUCUGGGGCAAUAACCAAGACUCUUUGGUUAUGGCCACUAUAGAUAGGGUUUUCAUGUCCACUAAUUGGGCAACAUCUUUUCCUAAUGUUCAGCUCAGAGCUCUUCCUAGGGUUGGAAGUGAUCAUACCCCUCUGGUAUUGAACACUUGUGCUUUCUCCCCCCCUAAAGAGAAAGCUUUUAGAUUUGAGGAAUGGUUUCUUGAAGUAGAUGGCUUUAGGGAAGUAGUUCAUAAAGCCUGGAGCACUAAAUGUUGCUUUACCAAAGCUAUUGAUAUUUGGCAGUUUAAUAUUAGAAAUACCAGGAAAGCUAUUAAAGGCUGGUGUGCUAAUUUUGAGGCGGAGCAAAAAAGGCAGAAACAUGCCUUGGUGGCUGAAUAUAACUGCCUUGAUAUUAUUGCUGAGUCUCAACCUCUCUCACCUAGCUCUAUGCUGAGGAUUAAAAACAUUGCAAGUGAGCUGAAUGAUAUCUGGAAAAGAGAAGAGAUAAAAGCUAGACAGAGGUCCAGGGAGAGGGAGAUCCUGGAAGGUGAUCUCAACACUGGCUACUUUAAAGCUGUGGCAAGCCUAAAAAGGAGGAAGAAACAGAUCCUGAUGCUGGAAAAUGAUGAAGGUAUUGUCACUGACCCAGAAGGUAUUAUGAAUACUGCUGUUGAUUACUAUAAAAGCUAUUUGGCUUUGUAG